GACGAACGCUGGCGGCGCGCCUAACACAUGCAAGUCGAACGAGGUUGAGAGGAGCUUGCUUUUCUUGACUUAGUGGCGAACGGGUGAGUAACGCGUGAGGAACCUGCCUCAAAGAGGGGGACAACAGUUGGAAACGACUGCUAAUACCGCAUAACGUGUCGAGGAGGCAUCUCCUUGACACCAAAGAUUUAUCGCUGAAAGAUGGGCUCGCGUCUGAUUAGCUAGUUGGUGGGGUAACGGCCUACCAAGGCGACGAUCAGUAGCCGGACUGAGAGGUUGAACGGCCACAUUGGGACUGAGAUACGGCCCAG
RNAcentral lists this ribosomal RNA (311 nucleotides) under uncultured bacterium. RNAcentral describes it as "bacterial SSU rRNA". It matches the Rfam family "Bacterial small subunit ribosomal RNA", at positions 28 to 334 of the family's 1533-position model. The record is from RNAcentral.